This 261-nucleotide unclassified non-coding RNA is filed under the name Russula sp. RNAcentral describes it as "partial contains 5.8S ribosomal RNA, internal transcribed spacer 2, and large subunit ribosomal RNA". Lineage: Eukaryota; Fungi; Basidiomycota; Agaricomycetes; Russulales; Russulaceae. The record is from RNAcentral.
AACGCACCUUGCACCCUCUGGUAUUCCGGAGGGUAUGCCCGUCCGAGUGUCUUGUCAACUUCAUCCCCCGGGCGACCGGGGGGUUGGAACUGGGUGUUGCCCCUUACCCGGGCUCGCCUCAAAUGCAUCGGUGGCGUCGCCCCGUGGCCAGUGUGAUAUGUUUCGCCGUCCACGGGUCGCCGCUUCCUUGAACCCGCCCGGCCCUCGCGGCCGGGAUCGUGCGUUGACCUCGGAUCGGGUAGGACUACCCGCUGAACUUAA